UCUCUCUCUCACUCUGUCUCUUCAUCUCCCUCGCGACUCCUCGGUGUCUCCUCACACUCCGGCGAAGCGGGUGGCGUGGUGAUGAUCCGGAGCACGCCACGGUGACCGACAUCUGCACGUCGACCAGGUCGGUACCCUAUGCUCGUUUACAGAAGUUGAGUUUGCAUUUGCGUUGUAGAUUGUAGAGCUAUGGUUUGGGGAGGGGGGGAAUUGGGGUUUUCUGGGUGGCGGCGAUUUAGGGUGAAGUGUUGUCGUAGAGGUGUUCUGGGCGUAGUGGAUGGGCAUGGUGUGACUAUUUUUGUUGAUGUUCAUCCUUUUGGUUGCUGCGAUUGUUAGCUAGGGUUUAAAAAAAUUCGAUUUUCAAGUGGUUGUGUUCAUCUGAUGGCUUGUAUGUUGAUGGCAACAGGAUGGAUGAACACAUUUGCAUAAGUUUCCACUUUGGUGGUACAUUUACUAAGGUGGGAGGCGCUCUGUUCUAUGUUGGAGGAGACAAUGCUGAGUCAUGGAUCGAUG
RNAcentral lists this long non-coding RNA (513 nucleotides) under Sorghum bicolor (sorghum). RNAcentral's name for it is "long non-coding RNA (SBIC_LNC004142)". Lineage: Eukaryota; Viridiplantae; Streptophyta; Magnoliopsida; Poales; Poaceae. The record is from RNAcentral.